GAAGAGCUCUACGCCGAAGGAGUAGCGAUCCACGGCGGCCCCGAGUCAUGCGCUGGCGUCUGUGAGGGCGUUGGUGAAGCGUUGACAGGGGUACGUGCAGGCCAGGCUAUUGAGCCUCGAAAUUUCGUGACCGGGGUGCCGACGCUGUCACAGAGGUGGAAGGCAACACCGCUGGGGGCGUUUUCGCGAGCCUCCGGUGGGCCCCGCGGGGUCAGAGAACC
RNAcentral lists this non-coding RNA (221 nucleotides) under Micromonospora sp. Llam0. The record is from RNAcentral. Lineage: Bacteria; Bacillati; Actinomycetota; Actinomycetes; Micromonosporales; Micromonosporaceae.